GACGAACGCUGGCGGCGUGCUUAACACAUGCAAGUCGAACGGAAAGGCCCUGCUUUUGUGGGGUGCUCGAGUGGCGAACGGGUGAGUAACACGUGAGUAACCUGCCCUUGACUUUGGGAUAACUUCAGGAAACUGGGGCUAAUACCGGAUAGGAGCUCCUGCUGCAUGGUGGGGUUUGGAAAGUUUCGGCGGUUGGGGAUGGACUCGCGGCUUAUCAGCUUGUUGGUGGGGUAGUGGCUUACCAAGGCUUUGACGGGUAGCCGGCCUGAGAGGGUGACCGGCCAAAUUGGGACUGAGAUACGGCCCAGAAUCCUACGGGAGGCAGCAGUGGGGAAUAUUGCACAAUGGGCGGAAGCCUGAUGCAGCAACGCCGCGUGCGGGAUGACGGCCUUCGGGUUGUAAACCGCUUUCGCCUGUGACGAAGCGUGAGUGACGGUAAUGGGUAAAGAAGCACCGGCUAACUAAGUG
RNAcentral lists this ribosomal RNA (468 nucleotides) under uncultured bacterium. RNAcentral describes it as "partial 16S ribosomal RNA". It matches the Rfam family "Bacterial small subunit ribosomal RNA", at positions 28 to 507 of the family's 1533-position model. The record is from RNAcentral.